GGAUGUGAGGGAAAUCUGGGUGUGACAUCUGUCACCUCAAUGAUUUCCAGGGUUGAUUUGGCUGAUCUGUCUGGCUAGGCAGGUAUCCCUUUGCUCCCUCAUUGCUCCAUGUGCGUCCCUCCCAAAGCUACACACUCAAUCGAAGAGGACGGCCUUCCCCGAAUAGACUCCCCAACUAGAACCUCCAAACAAGCUCUCAAGGUCCAUUUGUAGGAGAAAGUAGGGUAGUCAAGCUUCCAAGACUCCACACACACCCAAAUAAUGUGCUGCAUGUGGCAGUCUGCCUAUCU
Molecule: unclassified non-coding RNA, 290 nt
Organism: Erinaceus europaeus (western European hedgehog)
Lineage: Eukaryota; Metazoa; Chordata; Mammalia; Eulipotyphla; Erinaceidae
Gene: 7SK
Rfam family: 7SK RNA
About the family: 7SK was discovered as an abundant small nuclear RNA in the mid-70s but a possible function has only recently been suggested. Two independent studies have found that 7SK RNA binds the CDK9/cyclin T complex (known as elongation factor P-TEFb).
Source: Ensembl